AGUUUGAUCCUGGCUCAGGAUGAACGCCGGCGGCGUGCGUAAUACAUGCAAGUCGAGCGGGGCCCGCAAGGGUCCAGCGGCAAACGGGUGAGUAACACGUUGGUAACCUGCCCCUCGGAUCGGAAUACCGGGGAGAAAUCUCCGCUAAUGCCGGAUAUGUGCGCCUGGCUCGGGCCGGGCGGACGAAAGGGGGCCGAAAGGCCUCGCCGGGGGAUGGGCCUGCGGCGCAUCAGCCAGUUGGCGGGACAAAGGCCCACCAAAGCGAGGAUGCGUAGCCGGACUGAGAGGUCGGCCGGCCACAUUGGAACUGAGACACGGUCCAGACUCCUACGGGAGGCAGCAGUAGGGAGUAUUUGGCAAUGGGGGAAACCCUGACCGAGCAACGCCGCGUGUGCGAUGGAGUCCCUCAGGGACGUGAAGCACUGUGGGGGGCCGCCAAACGGGCGGGCAGGAAAUGGCCCGUCCCCGAGGAGCCCCCUAGAAAGCGACUGCUAACCACGUGCCAGCAGCAGCGGUAAUACGUGGGUCGCAAGCGUUAUCCGGAAUCAUUGGGCGUAAAGAGUGAGCAGGCGGUCCGGGAAGUCCGCGGUGAAAUGCGGGGGCUCAACCCCCGCAGGCCGCGGAUACUUCCGGUCUGGGGUGCGGGAGAGGCGGACGGAACUCCGCGUGUAGCGGUGAAAUGCACUGAUACGCGGAAGAACACCGGUGGCGAAGGCGGUCCGCCAGACCGAUACCGACGCUCAGUCACGAAAGCGUGGGGAGCAAAUAGGAUUAGAUACCCUAGUAGUCCACGCCGUAAACGAUGGGGGCCAGGGCGCGGGGUCGACCCGCGUCCGAAGCAAACGCAUUAAGCCCCCCGCCUGGGUACUACGUUCGCAAGAAUAAAACUCAAAGGAAUUGACGG
This 904-nucleotide ribosomal RNA is filed under the name uncultured bacterium. RNAcentral's name for it is "bacterial SSU rRNA". It matches the Rfam family "Bacterial small subunit ribosomal RNA", at positions 10 to 916 of the family's 1533-position model. The record is from RNAcentral.